CCUGCAGACAGAUGCCAGAGGCAGGACGAGCACAGAUCCUGGGCUGGGGGGUGAGGCAGGCCUGUCCUCUGAGCUCCUGGCUGGGGAUCCAUCCCUCUGUCCCAGGGCACUUUCCCUGUUCUCGCUCUGCACUCUCGGCAUCAUCAGCAUCACAGAAACAACAAGCAAACUCUCUCCUCUUCCAGUUCAGAGGCUGUUUCAGAGGCGCAACUGUUUGCGAGCAUCCGGGGACAGGCUGCAGGAGGGAAGGGAGAAAGAAGGCACACGCUAGAAAGGACCACUUUGUGCAAAAGUGAACACUUGGUAAGAGGCCAAAAUUAGUCAGAGG
RNAcentral lists this long non-coding RNA (328 nucleotides) under Capra hircus (goat). Its description in RNAcentral is "lncRNA (ENSCHIG00000002060.1)". The record is from RNAcentral. Lineage: Eukaryota; Metazoa; Chordata; Mammalia; Artiodactyla; Bovidae.